AGUGAACGCUGGCGGUAGGCCUAACACAUGCAAGUCGAACGGCAGCACAGUAAGAGCUUGCUCUUACGGGUGGCGAGUGGCGGACGGGUGAGGAAUACAUCGGAAUCUACUUUUUCGUGGGGGAUAACGUAGGGGAACUUACGCUAAUACCGCAUACGACCUACGGGUGAAAGCAGGGGAUCUUCGGACCUUGCGCGAUUGAAUGAGCCGAUGUCGGAUUAGCUAGUUGGCGGGGUAAAGGCCCACCAGGGCGACGAUCCGUAGCUGGUCUGAGAGGAUGAUCAGCCACACUGGAACUGAGACACGGUCCAGACUCCUACGGGAGGCAGCAGUGGGGAAUAUUGGACAAUGGGCGCAAGCCUGAUCCAGCCAUACCGCGUGGGUGAAGAAGGCCUUCGGGUUGUAAAGCCCUUUUGUUGGGAAAGAAAAGCAGCAGGUUAAUACCCCGCUGUUCUGACGGUACCCAAAGAAUAAGCACCGGCUAACUUCGUG
RNAcentral lists this ribosomal RNA (492 nucleotides) under uncultured bacterium. Its description in RNAcentral is "partial 16S ribosomal RNA". It matches the Rfam family "Bacterial small subunit ribosomal RNA", at positions 29 to 507 of the family's 1533-position model. The record is from RNAcentral.